RNAcentral lists this unclassified non-coding RNA (410 nucleotides) under Hevea brasiliensis (rubber tree). Lineage: Eukaryota; Viridiplantae; Streptophyta; Magnoliopsida; Malpighiales; Euphorbiaceae. The record is from RNAcentral.
GAUUUGGUGUUUGUGAAGUAUAAUAGGGCAUUAAAGCGCCGACAUGAUGCACGUGACUACAUUGAUCCUAUCUCAUUGAAAGACAUAGAUGAUAAUAAUGAAUGGUUGAUGGGUAAAAUGAAGGAAGAGUUAGAUAGAGAUGAGCUUGUUUUUAAAGAUGACACCUUGACAUUGAAUAUGGUUACUGCUAUUGGAGUUGAAGAGAAUGCCUACAACACUAAAUCAGGGAAAGAAAAAAAUGUUGAAUCAGCAUCUAUUUCAAGAUCUAUGCCAAAGGAAAAAGAAAGAGCAUCAUCCACUAACUUGAGAACUAAUACUCCUUUACUUUUUAAAGAUGAGGAAGAUGAUGAAAAUAUUGAUUUUGAAGAUGAGUAUCAAGAGGAUGAAGCUAUAGAAGAAGAUGAAGAAAA